Molecule: long non-coding RNA, 323 nt
Organism: Neofelis nebulosa (Clouded leopard)
Lineage: Eukaryota; Metazoa; Chordata; Mammalia; Carnivora; Felidae
Exons: 2
Source: RefSeq, a predicted model, not a curated record
UCUGUGCCAGGCACUCUGCGUAACCUGCAGCAGAGUGGGGCCUGACACUGAUCCCCGCCCCACUUUCCAGCUGUGCAACCUUAGGCAUCUACUGCCUCUCUGAACCAAAGUCUUCUCAUCUGCAAAAUGAGAGACCGCCGUCUACUUCGUGGGAUUGCUGUGGGAGUUCGCUGAGAUAACGCUUAGCAUCCUGAGGGGUGUAAACGGCAGAGGGCAGAGCAACAGUCCUAAUGACACAGGACGAAAACAAGGCCCCUUGAAGGUCCGGGGAGGCGGCCGGCAAGCACCCGAGGAGGGGCCCUCCGCCCUCAAACCCUCCGGAG